Molecule: ribosomal RNA, 1030 nt
Filed under: Photobacterium halotolerans
Lineage: Bacteria; Pseudomonadati; Pseudomonadota; Gammaproteobacteria; Vibrionales; Vibrionaceae
Description: bacterial SSU rRNA
Rfam family: Bacterial small subunit ribosomal RNA
Source: RNAcentral
GCAAGAAGUAGGUGGUUUAAUAGGAUCCCGUGCUUUGUACGUCAGCUGCAGAGCAAGCACUAAUCUAACUCCGUGCCAGCAGCUCGGUAAUACGGAGGAUGCGAGCGUUAAUCGGAAUUAUGUGCGUAAGCGCAUGCAGUCGGUCAGCUAAGCCAGAUGUGAAACGCCCUGGCUCACCCUCGGACUCGCAUUUGGAACUGGCCAGGAUUAGAGUAUUGUAAGAGGGGGGUAGAAUUUCAGGUGUAGCGAGAAAUGCGUAGAGAUCGAAGGAAUACCGGUGGCGAAGGCGGCCCCCUGGACAAAGACUGACGUCAGAUGCGAAAGCGUGGGGAGCAAACAGGAUUAGAUACUUGGUAGUCCACGCCGUAAACGAUGUAUACUUGGAGGUUGGUGUCUUGAACACUGGCUUUCGGAGCUAACGCGUUAAGUAGACCGCCUGGGGAGUACGGUCGCAAGAUUAAAACUCAAAUGAAUUGACGGGGGCCCCCACAAGCGGUGGAGCAUGUGGUUUAAUUAGAUGCAACGCGAAGAACCUUACCUACUCUUGACAUCCAGAGAACUUUCCAGAGAUGGAUGGGUGCUUUCGGGAACUGGGAGACAGGUGCUGCAUGGCUGUCGUCAGCUCGUGUUGUGAAAUGUUGGGUUAAGUCCCGCAACGAGCGCAACCCUUAUCCUUGUUUGCCACCACUUCGGGUGGGAACUCCAGGGAGACUGCCGGUGAUAAACCGGAGGAAGGUGGGGACGACGUCAAGUCAUCAUGGCCCUUACGAGUAGGGCUACACACGUGCUACAAUGGCGUAUACAGAGGGCGGCGAGCUAGCGAUAGUGAGCGAAUCCCACAAAGUACGUCGUAGUCCGGAUUGGAGUCUGCAACUCGACUCCAUGAAGUCGGAAUCGCUAGUAAUCGUGGAUCAGAAUGCCACGGUGAAUACGUUCCCGGGCCUUGUACACACCGCCCGUCACACCAUGGGAGUGGGCUGCACCAGAAGUAGAUAGCUUAACCUCGGGAGGGCGUUCCCCCAACGGUGGG